RNAcentral lists this ribosomal RNA (382 nucleotides) under uncultured eukaryote. RNAcentral's name for it is "partial 18S ribosomal RNA". It matches the Rfam family "Eukaryotic small subunit ribosomal RNA", at positions 592 to 976 of the family's 1831-position model. The record is from RNAcentral.
CAAUAGCGUAUAUUUAAGUUGUUGCAGUUAAAAAGCUCGUAGUUGGAUUUCGGAUGGGACUUGCCGGUCCGUCGUUUCGAUGUGCACUGGCCAGUCCUAUCUUGUUGUCGGGGACUAGCUCCUGGGCUUCACUGUCCGGGACUAGGAGCUGACGAGGUUACUUUGAGUAAAUUAGAGUGUUCAAAGCAAGCCUACGCUCUGAAUACAUUAGCAUGGAAUAACACGAUAGGACUCUGGCUUAUCUUGUUGGUCUGUGAGACCAGAGUAAUGAUUAAUAGGGACUGUCGGGGGCAUUGGUAUUAUUUGACUGUCAGAGGUGAAAUUCUUAGAUUCGUUGAGGACCAACCACUGCGAAAGCAUUUGUCAAGGAUGUCUCCAUUAA